UCCUGGAAUCCUCCAAUUCCUGUUCCUCAAGGUAUUAAAGGGAAGGUCUGCAGAUUUUCCAUGAGGAAAAAAACAAAAGGAUCUUGAUACUCUUCAAAACCUUCCCCACGCUCUGCACGGCCCUUCCCCGGACAGUGUGGCUGCUUCGGCUCUCUGCCUACCCUUUUCUCCAGUAUGGGUGGCCAAUCAUCUAUAAAACGAGAAGCUACACUAGGUAAUCAAUAAAACCCAACCAGCCUGCUUACAUGGGUAGCCAUUUGGAGUCGUCUACAAAGAUUCUUCCAUCCUUGGUUCUUGGAACAUACUCAAGAGGAGAGGCCACUCACCACUCAGAUGAUGUGACGGACAAAUGUUGGGGACAUGCCAGCAUGGGGGGAAAAAAGAUGCCUCUUG
This is a long non-coding RNA of Zalophus californianus (California sea lion), 393 nucleotides long. RefSeq lists it as uncharacterized. The record is from RefSeq and is a predicted model, not a curated record. The transcript has 3 exons. NCBI's taxonomy places the organism in Eukaryota, Metazoa, Chordata, Mammalia, Carnivora, Otariidae.